AAACGGAAACAAUCCCAGAAAAGCACACACAAAGCAGAAUGAUCAAAACACAAGAACAGGAUCUAAAACGGGCCCCCAUAGGUUAGAUAGGAACGGGUAAAAUAUCUUCAAGAUCCAGCAUUGAUACAAAAGAUUAUCGGGAGGCAAAUUGGCAAUUGAAGGAGGAGUUAUUUGAGCUAGUGAGUGAAAGAGAGAUCAGUGGAGGAAGAG
This 210-nucleotide unclassified non-coding RNA is filed under the name Hevea brasiliensis (rubber tree). The record is from RNAcentral. Lineage: Eukaryota; Viridiplantae; Streptophyta; Magnoliopsida; Malpighiales; Euphorbiaceae.